Molecule: ribosomal RNA, 1470 nt
Filed under: metagenome
Description: bacterial SSU rRNA
Rfam family: Bacterial small subunit ribosomal RNA
Source: RNAcentral
AGAGUUUGAUCAUGGCUCAGGACGAACGCUGGCGGCACGCUUAACACAUGCAAGUCGAACGAGAGAAGAGGAGCUUGCUUUUCUGAUCCAGUGGCGGACGGGUGAGUAACACGUGAGCAAUCUGCCUUUCAGAGGGGGAUACCGAUUGGAAACGAUCGUUAAUACCGCAUAACAUAAUUGAACCGCAUGAUUUGAUUAUCAAAGAUUUAUCGCUGAAAGAUGAGCUCGCGUCUGAUUAGCUAGUUGGUAAGGUAACGGCUUACCAAGGCGACGAUCAGUAGCCGGACUGAGAGGUUGAUCGGCCACAUUGGGACUGAGACACGGCCCAGACUCCUACGGGAGGCAGCAGUGGGGAAUAUUGCACAAUGGAGGAAACUCUGAUGCAGCGAUGCCGCGUGAGGGAAGAAGGUUUUAGGAUUGUAAACCUCUGUCUUCAGGGACGAAAAAAGACGGUACCUGAGGAGGAAGCUCCGGCUAACUACGUGCCAGCAGCCGCGGUAAUACGUAGGGAGCGAGCGUUGUCCGGAAUUACUGGGUGUAAAGGGAGCGUAGGCGGGAUCGCAAGUCAGAUGUGAAAACUAUGGGCUUAACCCAUAAACUGCAUUUGAAACUGUGGUUCUUGAGUGAAGUAGAGGUAAGCGGAAUUCCUAGUGUAGCGGUGAAAUGCGUAGAUAUUAGGAGGAACAUCAGUGGCGAAGGCGGCUUACUGGGCUUUAACUGACGCUGAGGCUCGAAAGCGUGGGGAGCAAACAGGAUUAGAUACCCUGGUAGUCCACGCCGUAAACGAUGAUUACUAGGUGUGGGGGGACUGACCCCUUCCGUGCCGCAGCAAACGCAAUAAGUAAUCCACCUGGGGAGUACGACCGCAAGGUUGAAACUCAAAGGAAUUGACGGGGGCCCGCACAAGCAGUGGAGUAUGUGGAUUAAUUCGAAGCAACGCGAAGAACCUUACCAGGUCUUGACAUCGUAUGCAUAGCUCAGAGAUGAGUGAAAUCUCUUCGGAGACAUAUAGACAGGUGGUGCAUGGUUGUCGUCAGCUCGUGUCGUGAGAUGUUGGGUUAAGUCCCGCAACGAGCGCAACCCUUACUGUUAGUUGCUACGCAAGAGCACUCUAGCAGGACUGCCGUUGACAAAACGGAGGAAGGUGGGGAUGACGUCAAAUCAUCAUGCCCCUUAUGACCUGGGCCUCACACGUACUACAAUGGCUGUCAACAGAGGGAAGCAAAGCCGCGAGGUGGAGCGAACCCCUAAAAGCAGUCUUAGUUCGGAUUGUAGGCUGCAACCCGCCUACAUGAAGUCGGAAUUGCUAGUAAUCGCAGAUCAGCAUGCUGCGGUGAAUACGUUCCCGGGCCUUGUACACACCGCCCGUCACGCCAUGGGAGUCGGUAACACCCGAAGCCUGUAGUCUAACCGCAAGGAGGACGCAGUCGAAGGUGGGAUUGAUGACUGGGGUGAAGUCGUAACAAGGUA